AUACGGAGGGUGCAAGCGUUGUUCGGAAUUACUGGGCGUAAAGCGCGUGCAGGCGGUAGGGUAAGUCAGAUGAGAAAGCCCCGGGCUCAACCCGGGAAGUGCAUUUGAUACUGCCUUUCUUGAGUAUGGGAGAGGAGAGUGGAAUUCCCAGUGUAGAGGUGAAAUUCGUAGAUAUUGGGAGGAACACCCGUGGCGAAGGCGACUCUCUGGACCAAUACUGACGCUGAGACGCGAAAGCGUGGGGAGCGAACAGGAUUAGAAACCCCAGUAGUCC
Molecule: ribosomal RNA, 274 nt
Filed under: uncultured bacterium
Lineage: Bacteria
Description: partial 16S ribosomal RNA
Rfam family: Bacterial small subunit ribosomal RNA
Source: RNAcentral